This 257-nucleotide ribosomal RNA is filed under the name uncultured bacterium. RNAcentral describes it as "partial 16S ribosomal RNA". It matches the Rfam family "Bacterial small subunit ribosomal RNA", at positions 524 to 776 of the family's 1533-position model. The record is from RNAcentral.
UACGGGGGGAGCAAGCGUUGUUCGGAUUUACUGGGCGUAAAGGGCGCAGUAGGCGGCCUGUGCAAGUCAGUUGUGAAAUCUCCGGGCUUAACUCGGAACGGUCAACUGAUACUGCUCGGCUAGAGUGCGGAAGGGGCAACUGGAAUUCUUGGUGUAGCGGUGAAAUGCGUAGAUAUCAAGAGGAACACCUGCGGCGAAGGCGGGUUGCUGGGCCGACACUGACGCUGGAUGCGCGAAAGCUAGGGGGAGCGAACGGG